This 468-nucleotide ribosomal RNA is filed under the name uncultured bacterium. Its description in RNAcentral is "partial 16S ribosomal RNA". It matches the Rfam family "Bacterial small subunit ribosomal RNA", at positions 28 to 507 of the family's 1533-position model. The record is from RNAcentral.
GACGAACGCUGGCGGCGUGCUUAACACAUGCAAGUCGAACGGAAAGGCCCUGCUUUUGUGGGGUGCUCGAGUGGCGAACGGGUGAGUAACACGUGAGUAACCUGCCCUUGACUUUGGGCUAACUUCAGGCAACUGGGGCUAAUACCGGAUAGGAGCUCCUGCUGCAUGGUGGGGGUUGGAAAGUUUCGGCGGUUGGGGAUGGACUCGCGGCUUAUCAGCUUGUUGGUGGGGUAGUGGCUUACCAAGGCUUUGACGGGUAGCCGGCCUGAUAGGGUGACCGGCCACAUUGGGACUGAGAUACGGCCCAGACUCCUACGGGAUGCAGCAGUGGGGAAUAUUGCACAAUGGGCGGAAGCCUGAUGCAGCAACGCCGCGUGCGGGAUGACGGCCUUCGGGUUGUAAACCGCUUUCGCCUGUUACUAAGCGAGAGUGACGGUAAUGGGUAAAGAAGCACCGGCUAACUACGUG